GACGAACGCUGGCGGCGUGCCUAAUACAUGCAAGUUGAGCGCUGAAGGUUGGUACUUGUACCGACUGGAUGAGCAGCGAACGGGUGAGUAACGCGUGGGGAAUCUGCCUUUGAGCGGGGGACAACAUUUGGAAACGAAUGCUAAUACCGCAUAAAAACUUUAAACACAAGUUUUAAGUUUGAAAGAUGCAAUUGCAUCACUCAAAGAUGAUCCCGCGUUGUAUUAGCUAGUUGGUGAGGUAAAGGCUCACCAAGGCGAUGAUACAUAGCCGUCCUGAGAGGGUGAUCGGCCACAUUGGGACUGAGACACGGCCCAAACUCCUACGGGAGGCAGCAGUAGGGAAUCUUCGGCAAUGGACGAAAGUCUGACCGAGCAACGCCGCGUGAGUGAAGAAGGUUUUCGGAUCGUAAAACUCGGUUGGUAGAGAAGAACGUUGGUGAGAGUGGAAAGCUCAUCAAGUGACGGUAACUACACAGAAAGGGACGGCUAACUACGUG
RNAcentral lists this ribosomal RNA (497 nucleotides) under uncultured bacterium. RNAcentral's name for it is "partial 16S ribosomal RNA". It matches the Rfam family "Bacterial small subunit ribosomal RNA", at positions 28 to 507 of the family's 1533-position model. The record is from RNAcentral.